Molecule: non-coding RNA, 629 nt
Organism: Drosophila melanogaster (fruit fly)
Lineage: Eukaryota; Metazoa; Arthropoda; Insecta; Diptera; Drosophilidae
Source: Ensembl
CCAGUUGCCAGUUGCCAGUCCAUCAAUCAUUUAGCUCCAACUCCAUCUACCGAGUUCCAUAUCCAUGGAUAUACGGAUCCGCAGAUCCAAGAAGCGGUUUCAUUAACAGCCGCUCGUCAAGUGGUUUUUCGGGCUCAUUGUUGCAUUUUGUCCUACGAUCGCCGACGGCGCAGCCUUCAAAGGCAUUCCACUGGCCAGUCGCUUUAUCUGCAUUCAUCAGUCGCCAAACAAAACAAGUCAACUGGCUUCAUUUGUAAUGGAUCUCCGUUGGGAUGGAGCAGAACGAGCUGCAGCUGGAGCUGGAACUUUAGCUGGACUGGAGCCCUAGCUGACUCCUGGCCAAGUUGGAGGCGGCUGCGCAGUAGUCAGGCCACUGAUUGCCUUGCAUUAAUCAUCGAGAGUCGGCACUUGGAACUGGGAGUGGAUCACAAAGCAAUACACUCGCAGAAAUUUUGAAAUGUAUCGCUAGUGAUCGUAGGUAAACCAAAACUGUAUUUAAUCGGAAUUUGAAUUCAAGGUUAUAUAUGCCUACAAGUUAUGGUCUUUAUUUUCUUAUUAACUGAACUAUAAUAUAAAAUUUCAAUGUUUGUAUGUAUUUUAAAAGGUAUUAAAAAAUAUUAAAUACAGAG